UACGAAGGGGGCUAGCGUUGUUCGGAAUCACUGGGCGUAAAGGGCGCGUAGGCGGCUUUGUAAGUCGGGGGUGAAAGCCUGUGGCUCAACCACAGAAUUGCCUUCGAUACUGCAUGGCUUGAGACCGGAAGAGGUAAGUGGAACUGCGAGUGUAGAGGUGAAAUUCGUAGAUAUUCGCAAGAACACCAGUGGCGAAGGCGGCUUACUGGUCCGGUACUGACGCUGAGGCGCGAAAGCGUGGGGAGCAAACAGG
This 253-nucleotide ribosomal RNA is filed under the name uncultured bacterium. Its description in RNAcentral is "partial 16S ribosomal RNA". It matches the Rfam family "Bacterial small subunit ribosomal RNA", at positions 524 to 776 of the family's 1533-position model. The record is from RNAcentral.